UAUAUACAUAUAUAUACAAAAUUAGUUAAUAAUCAUAUAAAUAACAAUAUAUUGAUAAUUAUAAAAACACAGGAUGGGUAAAAAAACUUCUAAAUGAUAUUAAAAAUCAAUUACUCCAUCUCGAGACGCUUUGAACCAACAUUGCUGUUUUCCUUCUUUCUUUUUCAUAUUAUCAGAAAAACGUUUUAAUUCCUCCUAGUUUGUACAUACUUGUUUUUCUUUAAAAUUAGAAUAAAAGAAUCAAAAGGAGUACGCAAUAGAUUUUGAAGAAUCACGUUAUAAAAGAAAUUGUUUCUUCUCUCCCUCUCCCUCUCCCUCUCUCUCUCCCCUCUUUCCCUUUUAUUUUGUUUACUAUGUAACCCUCAUUGUAAGGCCCCAUCGAAAACAUCGAUUAGCUUAGUCCAUUCGUGUCGGCACGAGAGUGAAUAACGGUUAUACUAAACGCACGACGUUUCACGAGGAGCACGCUCGUCGCGUCGUGACUCGAAAGUGCCCGAACAUAAAGUGUCUCGUUAUCGUUGUACUCUUUUAUAUGUAUGUUUGUUGCGCCAUUCGACGACGACGACAACGACGAAGAAGACGACGACGACGAAGAAGACGAAGAAGACGAAGAAGACGAAGACAACGAAGUUCCAUCGAGUAUAGACACACGUGCUCCAUACAUACAACCUUACUUUGAAUAUCAAAGGAGAAAGAAAAAGAAAGAGAGAGAGAGAGAGAGAAAGAGAGGAAGAGAAAUAGUUCGAUCGAUAGUUCCAUUGUUGUAUUUAUUUCGUUCGCCAUAGAAUUACGAAAAGCGAAGAUCAAGACGAAGGACGUAGACGUAGACAUAGACGUAGACGUAGACGUAGACGUAGACGUAGACGUAGAUGUAGACAUAGACGAAGAAGAGAGACGAAGAGGACGAAGAGGAUGAAGAGGACGAAGAAAAAGGAAAGAGAAAGGAUCGUACACAGGUUGGAAUGCACUUCGAGUUGCUUGCUUGCUUGCUUGUGGUAGAGCUUAGCUAAGCUAGUUUAGCUAGCUAGCUAGCUAGCUAGCUAGCUAGAGUCUAGUUGUUUCCGGGUGCAUCUCCAGGAACAGAUAAGAGUCUUACAAUAAGGCUACUCCAGGAAUUCCAGAGCGAAGGAGUCUCUCACGUUCGAGUCAGCAACGUGAUUCCUUUUACUCGUCGUUUUACUUUGCCAUAUACGUGAUCGGAAUAUUUUAUUAUCCUGUUUUUUUUUUAUUCUUUUUAAUUUUUUGUUUUAAUUUUUUAUUUCCUCUCUCUUUCUCUUUCUCUGUAUAUCUGUCUAUCUCUUUCUGUCUCUGUAGUUUUCCGAUAUACAUCUUUAUACUAGUUUUCUGCUUUUUCAUCGUACCGACUCGUUCUUCUUCUUCUUCUUCUUCAUUUUCUUUUUCAUUUUCUUUUUCUUUUUCUUUAUCCGUCUUCUUCUUUAUCCCUUGAGUGAUUACGUGACGAGGAAGAAAUUCUGAUGACCGUAAACUCGAUUCUAAAUUUUUUUAAAUGUUUUUGUUACUGUUGUUGUUGUUGUUGUUGUUGUUGUUAAUGAUUAGAAAUUGAGUUGAUUUGAAGAUGGCUUGUUAAAAAGAUAUGUGUAUGUGGCAGGACGAUUCGAAAAUAUUUUUAGAAUCUAAAUGUGUUCUCUUGAAUAUUAGAGUCGUAGUAGAUUUGUAUAGAAUAUAUAUUUAAGGGAAGAAUGAUUCAUUCUCUCUUUCUCUCUCUCUCUCUUCUCUGUUUCUCUUUGGAGAAAGAGAAUGAUUUCAUUCGAUUCUAAACGAGGAAAUGUGCUUUACUCAUGAUUUUCAUUGUUCUCUUUUGUUGAUUCUUUAAUAUAUUUCGUGAACAUUUAUUUUCUUUUAUUUUCUGUUUUUUUUUUUUUUUUUUUUUUUU
Molecule: long non-coding RNA, 1894 nt
Organism: Vespula vulgaris
Lineage: Eukaryota; Metazoa; Arthropoda; Insecta; Hymenoptera; Vespidae
Exons: 2
Source: RefSeq, a predicted model, not a curated record